AUUGAACGCUGGCGGCAGGCCUAACACAUGCAAGUCGAGCGAGCGGCGGAAGGGUGAGUAAUGUAUGGGGAUGUGCCCGAUGGAGGGGGAUAACUACUGGAAACGGUGGCUAAUAACGCAUACUAUCGGCUGAACCCAUAUGGGAUUAGCUAGUAGGUGGGGUAAAGGCUCACCUAGGCGACGAUCCGUAGCUGGUCUGAGAGGAUGAUCAGCCACACUGGAACUUAGACCCGGCCCAGACUCCUACGGGAGGCAGCAUUGGGGAAUAUUGCACAAUGGGCGCAAGCCUGAUUCAGCCAUGCCGCGUGUAUGAAGAAGGCCUUCGGGUUGUAAAGCACUUUCAGCUGGGAGGCGUUACCCGCAGAAGAAGCACCGGCUAACUCCGUGCCAGCAGCCGCGGUAAUUC
This 406-nucleotide ribosomal RNA is filed under the name uncultured bacterium. Its description in RNAcentral is "partial 16S ribosomal RNA". It matches the Rfam family "Bacterial small subunit ribosomal RNA", at positions 30 to 526 of the family's 1533-position model. The record is from RNAcentral.